This 492-nucleotide ribosomal RNA is filed under the name uncultured bacterium. RNAcentral describes it as "partial 16S ribosomal RNA". It matches the Rfam family "Bacterial small subunit ribosomal RNA", at positions 29 to 507 of the family's 1533-position model. The record is from RNAcentral.
AGUGAACGCUGGCGGUAGGCCUAACACAUGCAAGUCGAACGGCAGCACAGUAAGAGCUUGCUCUUACGGGUGGCGAGUGGCGGACGGGUGAGGAGUACAUCGGAAUCUACUUUUUCGUGGGGGAUAACGUAGGGAAACUUACGCUAGUACCGCAUACGACCUACGGGUGAAAGCAGGGGAUCGUCGGACCUUGCGCGAUUGAAUGAGCCGAUGUCGGAUUAGAUAGUUGGCGGGGUAAAGGCCAACCAAGGGGAGGAUCCGUAGCUGGUCUGAGAGAAUGAUAGGCCACCUUGGAACUGAGCCAGGGUCAAGACUCCUAAGGGACGCACCAGUGGGGAACAUUGGACAACGGGGGGAAGCAUGAUCCAGUCAUACCGCGUGGGUGACGAAGGCCUUGGGGUUGUAAAGCCCUUUUGUUGGGAAUGAAACGCAUUCGCUUAUUACGACGCUGUUGUGACGGUAACCAAAGAAUAAGCACCGGCUAACUUCGUG